RNAcentral lists this transfer RNA (88 nucleotides) under Legionella sp. RNAcentral's name for it is "tRNA-Ser". It matches the Rfam family "tRNA". Rfam says of the family: Transfer RNA (tRNA) molecules are approximately 80 nucleotides in length. Their secondary structure includes four short double-helical elements and three loops (D, anti-codon, and T loops). Further hydrogen bonds mediate the characteristic L-shaped molecular structure. tRNAs have two regions of fundamental functional importance: the anti-codon, which is responsible for specific mRNA codon recognition, and the 3' end, to which the tRNAs corresponding amino acid is attached (by aminoacyl-tRNA synthetases). tRNAs cope with the degeneracy of the genetic code in two manners: having more than one tRNA (with a specific anti-codon) for a particular amino acid; and 'wobble' base-pairing, i.e. permitting non-standard base-pairing at the 3rd anti-codon position. RNAcentral also lists the same sequence under 19 other names. Lineage: Bacteria; Pseudomonadati; Pseudomonadota; Gammaproteobacteria; Legionellales; Legionellaceae. The record is from RNAcentral.
GGAGAGGUGGCCGAGUGGCUGAAGGCGCACGCCUGGAAAGUGUGUAUACGGCAACGUAUCGAGGGUUCGAAUCCCUCUCUCUCCGCCA